Molecule: long non-coding RNA, 1046 nt
Organism: Tachysurus fulvidraco (yellow catfish)
Lineage: Eukaryota; Metazoa; Chordata; Actinopteri; Siluriformes; Bagridae
Exons: 4
Source: RefSeq, a predicted model, not a curated record
CUGCAUAUAUUUCUUCUAAGCAAGUCGCAAGAACAUUAGUGAGGUACUGACAGUCACAUAAUUCUCCAAAUCAUGUCAAACCUUUUUGGUGAGGUGGAAAUAAGGGCUGCAUGAAGUCCUGUCAAGUCAAGUUCCUCCACUCGUAGCAAUCGUUAUAUAUUUACAGUGUUGUCUUUGUGUGAUUGGUGCAGGACAGACAGCUCUUCAUAUCGCCAUUGAGAGGAGAAACAAACGCUGCUUCUACUUUGGCAUCAUCGCUAACCUAGCAACCAUGAUGCCUCCUCGUGUGCUGACGGUUGCAGGAGUGAAAAGGAUUCUAGGUAGCCGGAGCGCUCUGUCUCGGAAUGAAGCCUUGAGACAGGAAGUAGAGCGAGCAUUCCCUUUCCCUGUUGAGUAAGGGAAAGACUUGGACUCAGCAGUCGGAGUGGCAAUGGUUUUUAAUGACAAGCUGACCGGUCCUGUGGAAAAACAUAGAGAAGUUGUACUAUGAUGCUUAAUUGUCUACCUCUCAGAAAAUCCUGAGAAUCUCAUCAAGCAUUAUCAGGAUACUCAUUGGAACGAGGAGGAACUGAAACUGCUCACAUUGAACAUCAUCACGAAAGGUGGCUCAACAGAUGAUCCUUUACAGACUGGAAUAGUGCUGGAAGGCAUAGAGGUGAUGACAGGGUUGGCAGGCAUUGCAAAGGCUUGCGUUUUUCUUCUUGGCCUGACCUUUGCAAUUAAUCUCAGCUACCCCAAAGAGCUCAGAUUCUCUUUUGAGUUUUUUCAGAAGAUCUUGCUGGAACUUGACAGUGGCAAACUUACUCCAAAGGUUUACUCUCUGAAGAACAAGCUUUUUGUUGAAAUUAUUGUGUUCUGACCAUUGCGACUCAAAAUAUGUUUGAGUCACAAGACAUGAUUAGCACAAGACACCAGGUUCUAGUACAAUGUUAGUUGGAAAGUUGUUUUAGUGUUAGUGUUUUCUCAGGAAGUUUGUUGCAUAUUCACAAAAGGAAAGUUUGGAAAAAUGUGAAUAUUUUAAGAGACAUUGCAAAGAGUUUGAACUU